Long non-coding RNA from Amblyraja radiata (thorny skate), 88 nucleotides. RefSeq lists it as uncharacterized. Lineage: Eukaryota; Metazoa; Chordata; Chondrichthyes; Rajiformes; Rajidae. The transcript has 3 exons. The record is from RefSeq and is a predicted model, not a curated record.
CUUACCGAGUUCAGCUGCCUGGUUCAUCCCCAUCUUCAUCACCCUGAUGUGAGGGUCUUAGAUCGCCGGCUGUGAGAUUUUGAUGGAC